This is a long non-coding RNA of Cavia porcellus (domestic guinea pig), 2004 nucleotides long. RefSeq lists it as uncharacterized. NCBI's taxonomy places the organism in Eukaryota, Metazoa, Chordata, Mammalia, Rodentia, Caviidae. The record is from RefSeq and is a predicted model, not a curated record. The transcript is spliced from 3 exons.
CUUCUGAUUUUCCCAGGUGAUAUCACACCAAAAGAGAAAAAAGGUACACGUGAUAUAUGUAAAAUUCAAUUUAUGUAUGCUAAUGAUGAACUAAGUCGGUACUUUUGGUAUGAUUUAAACAUUAAGGUAUUGCAGGUAUCUUUUCUUUUCUAAGCUCAGCAAAGGAUUUAUCCUAUGCAGCAAAGCUCUGGAUUGAAAGUACUGUAUGAAGAGUUUGAAGCUCCUACAUAAGAACUUAUAAGGUACAAGAAGAUCUGAAUAAAGAGUUAAAGUGAACAAAACACAUUACUAAACCUUAUAGCUUUUUUCUUUUUUGACAAUUAGCAUCUACAAAGGUGUCUAGAUUUCCAACAUGGCUCCAUUUACAUAUGAGAAUUUUAUUAGCUUGAAAAAGAAUAUGAAAAAUUCUACAGCUGAUAUUUACAAAACUACUACACAAUUUUGGAAAUACUUGAAAAGUCUAAGAGUAACAUAAUUCAAGUGGGGAAAGUUAAAUAUGUUUUAAAAUCUGGAAACACAAACUUUUUCUUAUAUACAGCCAAAUGGCACAAUUCCUCCCUAGUCUCUAUUCCCAUGUGUGGCUUUUUCUGGAGCAUUCAUUUUUAGUUUAAAGAAAAAGAUUUAUUUGAAAUUAUUACUUAAAACCAAGGAGUGGAGUGUGUGUGAGAUGUUUCACAUUUGCAAUCCCAACACUUGGGCUCCUGAGAAAGGAUUUUACAUUUAAAAUCAGCCUGGAUAAUUUACCAAGAUCCUGUCUGAAAAACAAAAAAACAUCAAACAAACUAAGUGAUAAUAGGUUGGACAUGGUGGCACACACCUGUCAGCUACUCAGAAAGUUCAAGCAGGAGGGUCCCAAGUGUGAGGGCCUCUGGGCAAUUCAGCAGGACCUUGUCUCAAAAUAAAAAGAGCGGAGGCUGUAGCUCACUGAUCCAGUGCUUCCUUGACAUGCGGCAGGCCUUGGGGUCAAUCCCCAGUACAGACAGAAAACACUGAUAAAGGCUUGCUUUUAAUAACUGAUGGAUACUAGACAGAUGUAAGCUGAAGAGCUUUCAUUCUGCCUAAACUUCACUGGCACCCUCACCAGAAUUUAUUCUUGUUCAAAGAUAAUCACAUAUGAAAUAACUGCAGUCUUACACAAUUACCUCAGGUCUGUGCCACUACAAAAGUGUAAAGACCAAGGUGUCAGUGUCAGUGUUCCGGCACCAUCUGAAGAAAGGCACUGAGAAUGAGGGCAGGGUAUUUUUAACCAGCAGGCCUGUAAACCUACACCUGGUGUAUAUAAAGCUCUGGCCGUGCCGGAGUUCAUCUGUUGCAGAUGCUCCAAGAGAAGAGUUGCUGGAAAAAACACAUCAGGUGUAGAAGAUGUGUUCAAAAAUAGAAGAGGGCUACCCUUGAACUAUGAACUCUCUUCAAGGAAGUCUAGACUCUAAAUGGAGAAUGGAAGUGUGAAAACCAGAAAUACUUUGUGUGCUUUCAGUAGCAUUAAGGUCCUUAUGAUAACAGUGUUCGUUACAAGGAAUGUGCAGAAGAAGGAUACACAUGGAGCUUAAGAUAGCAAGGAAGCUUGGGAAUGCAGCGGAGUGGGACAGCCUGUGCUCGGUGCAUAUAAGAUUCUGGAUUUAAUUCCCAACACCACGAAAUAAAUUAAAAAAAUAAAUCUAAUAUGCUAUUUAAGCCCCUGACUACAACAGUGGUACAUGCCUGUAGUCCCAGCAGGACGACUAAGAGUGAGCCCAGCCUGGGUUAUAAAAAAACCUCCACAAUUUCGAAAAUAUUAAUAAACUCAACAUAAGCCAGUCAGCAUGGAGGACUUGGUGUGGUAUGUCUACAGUCCCAGCUACUCAGGAGGCUGAGGCUGGAAGAUUGCUUAGCCUAGGAGACUGAGGCCAGCCUCAGCAAUACUUGAAAUACAGAUAAAUGAAUGCAAUGUCGUAAACCAAAGUGUUUAUUUUUUGUGUUGUUGGGGAUCAAACCCAAGGCACCUGCUAGGCAAGCACUCUAUCA